CCUACGGGAGGCUGCAGUGGGGAAUAUUGCACAAUGGGCGCAAGCCUGAUGCAGCCAUGCCGCGUGUGUGAAGAAGGCCUUCGGGUUGUAAAGCACUUUCAGCGGGGAGGAAGGCGGUGAGGUUAAUAACCUCAUCGAUUGACGUUACCCGCAGAAGAAGCACCGGCUAACUCCGUGCCAGCAGCCGCGGUAAUACGGAGGGUGCAAGCGUUAAUCGGAAUUACUGGGCGUAAAGCGCACGCAGGCGGUCUGUCAAGUCGGAUGUGAAAUCCCCGGGCUCAACCUGGGAACUGCAUUCGAAACUGGCAGGCUAGAGUCUUGUAGAGGGGGGUAGAAUUCCAGGUGUAGCGGUGAAAUGCGUAGAGAUCUGGAGGAACACCGGUGGCGAAGGCGGCCCCCUGGACAAAGACUGACGCUCAGGUGCGAAAGCGUGGGGAGCAAACAGGAUUAGAUACCCUAGUAGUC
Molecule: ribosomal RNA, 465 nt
Filed under: uncultured Klebsiella sp.
Lineage: Bacteria; Pseudomonadati; Pseudomonadota; Gammaproteobacteria; Enterobacterales; Enterobacteriaceae
Description: bacterial SSU rRNA
Rfam family: Bacterial small subunit ribosomal RNA
Source: RNAcentral